UCCUGGCUGGCUUAGUCGGUAGAGCAUGCGACUCUUGAUCUCAAGGCUGUGAGUUCGGGCCCCAUGUUGGGUG
This 73-nucleotide transfer RNA is filed under the name Ursus americanus (American black bear). It matches the Rfam family "tRNA". Rfam says of the family: Transfer RNA (tRNA) molecules are approximately 80 nucleotides in length. Their secondary structure includes four short double-helical elements and three loops (D, anti-codon, and T loops). Further hydrogen bonds mediate the characteristic L-shaped molecular structure. tRNAs have two regions of fundamental functional importance: the anti-codon, which is responsible for specific mRNA codon recognition, and the 3' end, to which the tRNAs corresponding amino acid is attached (by aminoacyl-tRNA synthetases). tRNAs cope with the degeneracy of the genetic code in two manners: having more than one tRNA (with a specific anti-codon) for a particular amino acid; and 'wobble' base-pairing, i.e. permitting non-standard base-pairing at the 3rd anti-codon position. Lineage: Eukaryota; Metazoa; Chordata; Mammalia; Carnivora; Ursidae. RNAcentral also lists the same sequence under 2 other names. The record is from Rfam by way of RNAcentral.